Rattus norvegicus (Norway rat) is the source of this 643-nucleotide non-coding RNA. The record is from RefSeq and is a predicted model, not a curated record. NCBI's taxonomy places the organism in Eukaryota, Metazoa, Chordata, Mammalia, Rodentia, Muridae.
CAAAUGCAUGAAUCUAUGGACACCAUACCUAUUCAAACCACAAGAGGGGAAACUAUAAACAAAAGGAAUUUUAAACCUGUAUGGAGGAGGGGGAGGGGAGGGAAUGGAGGUUCAUGGAUAGGAAACCGGGAAGCAAGCAGAAUAACGGUUGAAAUACAUUUACUUUGAAGCUUGGAAUAAAGAACUUUGUUGGAAUGCAAAAAAAAAAGAAGAAGAAGAAGAAAAAGCCCUCCCAGCCUGAACCAUUGUCCUGAGCAAACCUUGGGCACUGUCUUUGAACACAGUCCCACAACACCCAGAGGAAAUCCAAUUUCUAGGAGCUCUAACAUGCCCAGGACCAGAGGUAACCGUCAGACUGAGCAUGGGGACUCCAAUGGAAGAAUUAGGGGAAGGACUAAAGAAGCUGAAGAUCUUUGCAAACCCAUAGGAAGAACAACAAUAUCAACCAACCAGAAUCCCCAGAGCUCCCAGGGACUCAACCACCAACCAAAGAGUACAAAUGGAGAGAUUCAUGGCUCUAGCCAUAUAUGUAGCAGAGGAUGGCAUUGUUUGGCAUCAAUAGGAGAAGCUCUUAAUCCUGUGAAGGCUCAUUUCCCCUGUGUAUGGGAAUGGCAGGGUGCUGAGGUGGGAAUGAGUGGGUAGG